This is a long non-coding RNA of Populus trichocarpa (black cottonwood), 970 nucleotides long. RefSeq lists it as uncharacterized. The record is from RefSeq and is a predicted model, not a curated record. NCBI's taxonomy places the organism in Eukaryota, Viridiplantae, Streptophyta, Magnoliopsida, Malpighiales, Salicaceae. The transcript has 2 exons.
GUGUUCGAAGACGCCCAUGAUGUCACUCCUUUUGCACCAGCCAUACAAAGUACAAACCCUUAAAACGACCCUCCCAUUUUUCAGAUGAACAAGGAAUGGGAUUCCAUCAAAACUCAUGUCUCCAUGCAUUUUCUAUGCUAAUUUUUCAUUUCGUAUAGGACAUAAACUUCUGGGGCUCAGUGUAUUGUACCUACUUUGCAAUUCCGCACUUAAAAAGGAAAAAUUGAAGGAUCGUAGUAGUUGCUUCAGUUGCCGCAUUUCUACCUAUCCCAAGACUAAGCUUCUAUAAUGUAAGAUUUUCCAUCUACAUCUUUCAAAUCCGUCUGUUACUUCAAUUAAUAUCCAUUCUGUUUUCACAAUGUUUAUAGGCAAGUAAAGCAGUGUAUAGCAUGUAUGAGACAGAGGGUAGAAUUAGGAUCAGAGAUCGGAAUAACAAUUGUUAUUCCUGGAUUGAUCAAGUCAGAAAUGACACAAAAAAAAUUCCUAAACCAGCAAGGCAAAUUGGAAUUAGAUGAAGAAAUGUGAAGGGCAAUGAUAAAUCCGAUUCCAGCGGAGUCUACCACAGAGUGUGCCAAAGCAAUUGUAGAUGGUGCAUGCCGAGGAGAGAAAUACCUGGUUGAACCAGCUUGGUACCGUUCCAUAAUUUAUUUCAGGUACUUUUUCCCUGAUAUAGUAGAGUGGAGCAACCGUUUAUUUUUAAUCUUGACAAGAUCAAUCUACAACAGAUAGGAGUUGAGAGAAGUACUGAGAAGAUCCUCCAUCUAGUAACUAAAUGAAGGUCGGUCUUGCAUCUAUAACAUUUUAACCUUAUGCCCUGAAUCCAUAACGGAAGCUUCUUGCAUCAUGUAUGGUUGUAUCAUAGAAGUUUCCUUAACUAGUCUUGUAUUGCAUAAUGCCAGUCUAGAAAUUAUGUAUCUGUCUCAAGAAAUAAGUGAUAAAUUUAUGGGGAUAUCAUGAAUGAUUUAUUUUA